UUUCAAUUUAUCUUUCGGUAUAUCGGGCCGACUGCACUGUCUAAGCCACUGUGCGUUGCAUAUGGAAUUUUGAUACUCGUUUGUUAACGCGUGGGUGAUUUCCCUUUAAACUAUUUGCAUAUAAGUCGUGAUUUGCUUGUAAUGAUCGAAAUAUUAAUGUACAGGGUGUUCGAAAUUCGAGGGUGACCAUUGGGAUCUCGGAAACCGUAUGAGUUACAGGGUCGGUUAAAUCGAGGCAAAGUUGCGCAAUUUGGAGCUUGAUAAAAUGACGUUUAAAAAAUUUUAAAAUUCCGGGUACUUCCGAAGUUAUCCGAAAAAAAUCGAAAAUUGUCAAAAUCGUUUUUACCGAAGUUCCUUUUUUUAAGUUGGUCCGUCCACAAUUUUUUGAACGUCCAAAUAGUUUAAAUUUUUUCUUUUUAUAAUAUUUCUUUGUUUUCUCUCCAAAUUAAAACUACUAUUUCAUUUAAUUUAAUUUUCUCCUUUUAUUAUAACCAAUUUAAUUAAUAUUUUUAUAUUAAGUCUUAAUAACAACAAAUCUGCGCCUGUACGAUAGCCUUUAAAUUUCUAAAUUCCUUUGGUUUGUGCUGAACGAAGACCAGAGAGAAGACGACUUCCUUGUUAGCACUUUAUCAUCGCGUAUUGAUUCCAGUGUCGUGAUCUAUACGUUUAUUUCCGCAACUAAUGUCUUAAUAUUACCGCAUCACAGACCGUGAUUUAAAAACCCGCAACCACUCUUAGUGAUUCAACCCGAAUUAGAAGACCAAAUAAGUCAAGAGCAGGCCUGCUGAAGCUGGAUACAGAUACCUUAAGAAUGACACAAGUCGCACUUUGCACGACAACUCAAAAGUUGCCGAGAAGCUUCGGAACAGCGUUGUAUCGAGUAUAUAAGCAGCCGCAUCGCCAAUAAUAGUCAGUUGUCAGUUUAGUGCAGUUCGGAAUAUUGACGCGAAAAUAGUAUAUAAUAUGAGUAAAUACAGAGGCAAGAGGGAUUCCACAUCGGACAUGCGUUUGACGGGUCCAAGAUUGAUUAUCUACUAAACGAUAAACUAGUGUCAGUUUGACGAAAGCGUAGACGAUCCCCUGCCUGAUGCAACGGCAGACUCGAUGGAAUUCGAUGGUUGUAGGUGAUAUUUGGAUUAGGUUGGAUGACUUGUAUAAAUUUUUUAGAUAAGAAAUUC
Molecule: long non-coding RNA, 1178 nt
Organism: Anthonomus grandis grandis
Lineage: Eukaryota; Metazoa; Arthropoda; Insecta; Coleoptera; Curculionidae
Exons: 3
Source: RefSeq, a predicted model, not a curated record